GGCCCAUCUCACCAUGUUCUGCAACUAUGUCAUUUCAACAUAGACAUUGUCAAUGAUUAAUUAAUGAAUAACAUGUACCUCCUUAAAUGUUCUGCAUGUGUGUUACUUCAUGGAUGCUGAAAUUUUGUGGUACAAAUCUUCGUCAAUUCAUCAUAAAGAAUUUGGAAACAUCAUUGCUCUUUUUGGGUUUUAUUGCUGUUUGGAUUGAGUUCUUGUAGAUGUUUAAAUUAAGCAUGUCAUUGUUUU
RNAcentral lists this unclassified non-coding RNA (246 nucleotides) under Hevea brasiliensis (rubber tree). Lineage: Eukaryota; Viridiplantae; Streptophyta; Magnoliopsida; Malpighiales; Euphorbiaceae. The record is from RNAcentral.